GCCCAGGCCAGAAUCUCAGAGGAGGCCACAGGUCCCCGGUACGCUCUGAUGGGGCAGCCUCCAUGGGGGAUCCCUGGGCCCUGAACACCCUCCUUUCUCACUGUCCCUCCCUCCCCUGCAAAGGGCAUCCUCAGCUGCUUCUGAAACCUGGGGGGCUGUGGUGGGAAACAGCCCGGACAGGCUGUUCUCAACACUCUCUACUGCAAACUACACACAGUUUUACGUCGCCAGAAAGACCCCAAAUUUCUAUUCAAAAAGACGGUACCAGUUUCAGUUCCCACCAACCUCAAAGGCAGAGACAAAAGGACGGUGCGCCCUCCUGUAACUUCAUUUCUUCGGUGACUGUGAAGCUGAGGGCAGAGUCCACGCCUGGGGACAGGGCUGCCACCGCAGCGGCCACCGCGCCCGACGCUCGCUCCUCCUCCCAGAGACCACCUGCGUUCCGCUCAGGGACAGGGCUGCCAACGCAGCGGCCACCGCGCCCGACGCUCGCUCCUCCUCCCAGAGACGACUUGAGCUCUGCUCAGAAGCGGCACCUCCUCAUGCUGGACUCACUCGGGCCCGCAUGUGCCAAGGGGGCCUGGUUUUGGGGCCGGCGGGUUCUGCCUGAUGCUCAGAGGGUAACUGGAUGCUGAAUUUGGGGCCGGCGGGUUCUGCCUGAUGGUCAGAGGGUAACUGGAUGCUGAAAACUGUGAGUCUUUCUUCAACUCAGGGGAAUGUUUCCAGCGCAGGCCAGGCCUCACUCACGCAGGCCUCCGUGACAACUGUUCAGCACUGACUGAGGGUGAAGUGAAAUCCUGAAAGCUGAGAGCCAGCGCCCUCACACGAAGGCUGGGACGUAACAAAAGCCCACCAAGAGUUUUGCCCAGGGCUUUCUUGGGCCUUGAAGCGUGACGAGACCAGGACCCGUUUAGGAUUAAACAAGUUUUAUUGGGGGUCUGAAAAAACUCCCCAGGCCUCCACAAACAAGUGGAGAAGGAACUCCCCAGGCCUCCAUGAUUUAGCAGAAGACAAGAUAAGGGUAAACACCUGGGCCCAUUUAGAUCAAGUAAAUAUACUGAGUCUCCAGAGGAAGAUCUCCAGGACCAGACCUCAGUUAGAGAUGAGAAGAAUUGAAUCACGCACGUCUUUAGACGAAUGCACACUGACACGGAGACACAGAGCUUAGAAGGUGUGUAAGCUCUGGAAAAACUCUGUAAUCUGGAGUUGGUCUGGCGAUCAUUUCCAGGCCUUCUCCCUGUAACCAGUUACAGAAAUAAAAUCCCUCUUCUUCCCCAGUU
Molecule: non-coding RNA, 1280 nt
Filed under: Pan troglodytes (chimpanzee)
Lineage: Eukaryota; Metazoa; Chordata; Mammalia; Primates; Hominidae
Source: RNAcentral